Molecule: ribosomal RNA, 497 nt
Filed under: uncultured bacterium
Lineage: Bacteria
Description: partial 16S ribosomal RNA
Rfam family: Bacterial small subunit ribosomal RNA
Source: RNAcentral
GAUGAACGCUGGCGGCGUGCCUAAUACAUGCAAGUCGAGCGAACAGACGAGGAGCUUGCUCCUUUGACGUUAGCGGCGGACGGGUGAGUAACACGUGGGUAACCUACCUAUAAGACUGGGAUAACUUCGGGAAACCGGAGCUAAUACCGGAUAAUAUUUCGAACCGCAUGGUUCGAUAGUGAAAGAUGGCUUUGCUAUCACUUAUAGAUGGAUCUGCGCCGUAUUAGCUAGUUGGUAAGGUAACGGCUUACCAAGGCAACGAUUCGUAGCCGACCUGAGAGGGUGAUCGGCCACACUGGAACUGAGACACGGUCCAGACUCCUACGGGAGGCAGCAGUAGGGAAUCUUCCGCAGUGGGCGAAAGCCUGGCGGAGCAACGCCGCGUGAGUGAUGAAGGUCUUCGGAUCGUAAAACUCUGUUAUUAGGGAAGAACAAACGUGUAAGGAACUGUGCACGUCUUGACGGUACCUAAUCAGAAAGCCACGGCUAACUACGUG